Molecule: long non-coding RNA, 22326 nt
Filed under: Gossypium barbadense (sea-island cotton)
Lineage: Eukaryota; Viridiplantae; Streptophyta; Magnoliopsida; Malvales; Malvaceae
Description: long non-coding RNA (GBAR_LNC001691)
Source: RNAcentral
UCAUUUUUAAGAAAAGUGAUUAAUUUUGGAAAAUACUUUCAUUGCGGAAGCUUUGCUUGUUGUCGUGUUAUUUUGAAAUCAACUGUUGUUUUUGAAAACGCGCCCUAAAGCUAUCCAAUUUCAACAGUUAAAAUAAGUAUUACCUAUCUUAGUAAUACAUAUUAAAAACCAUCAAAAAUAAAUAAGCUGCCUUAUUACAUUUAAAAGCCCAAAACCUCAAACGUAAUUAAAAGGAUGACAAGUUCACCAGAAGAAAAUCAAACUUUCAGAACGGGUGGCCACUCCGAAUUCCCUCACAGCUCCAAGCCCACUAUGGUUGGGGAUUACCUGCGUGGAUGAAAAUAAAAGGGAUAAGUUUGGGGAAACUCAGUGUAUAAAAUAACCCAACCAUAGUCUAAAUCAGCUCAACCCACAGAAACAGAAUAAGUUGGCCUUAGCCCAGAACAGAAUUCAGAAUAAAGCCCAUAUGCCCAUAACAGAACAGAACAGAUAUUACAUGUUUAUGCAGAAACCCAACCAUAUCCAACCGUAUACACCCCCGUACCAACCUUACACCGUGUGGGGAGACAACUCGACUCACCCAACCGCUACACACCACAGAAUUUGCAGCAUGGCUGCCAGAACAGAUAAUGUGACAGAGUCACCAGAUACAGAUAAUCGUGGCAGAGCCACCAGAACAGAUAUAUGUGGCAGAGCCACCAGAUCAGAUAUUUGUGGCAUAGCCACCAGAACGGUUCCUCCAUAAUAUAACCCAUGUCCCCAUGCAACAAAUACAUAAUCAUGGCAUCCAUCAUACAGAAUCAGAUCGCUAUGCUUUUCAGUCAAAAUUAACCCUACGGGUAUAACAGUAAUUUUGCACCCAGGGGUAUAACAGUAAUUUUCCAUACAUAGGGGUAUUAUAGUAAUUUAGCUACUUUCAGGGUUUUCAUGCAUAUCCUAACUAUUUACGUACUAUCAGAACACUUACCGCGCAUACUUACCGAAUUGGGCCCGUUGGCCCAUGAACCCGAUCUUUGGCCCAUUAAGCCCAAAUUAUCAAAAUGUACGAAAUCGCGCGUACUGCAGUUUAUUACUUUAGAUUACCAAAUAUACAAACCCAACUAUUUUACGAGCAUUCGCACACUCGUAAAUUCCCAAAAUACUGACUUUUCGGCAUUUCGGCUUUUGUCAAUCUAGUCUAUGAGAGGGUGUCAGUUACACACUUGUUUGCGACGAUAUGCUGACGAGAUCCACACACGAACCGCCUACAAUUGGAUUACUAAAACGUUAAUCUAACUAUUCAAAUACAAACUACGUAUUAAACCCUUACAAUAUUCGGUCAACCACACCUACAGAUCAUAGUAAGCUUAUAAGAAAUCAAUAAGCAACUCAUUAACAAAUUUUUGUCAAUGUUUACCACAUAAUCAUAAUUUCACUGCAAGCUGUCUUUCUGAGCAACAGUCACUAAAUCAUUUAUAACUAGAGCUAAGAAACUCCAAAUCAAGUGCUGUUAAUUUUCCCUGAAAAUAGACUCAUAUAUCUUCUAUCCUUUAAAUUUUCAAAAUUUUUGGUUUGGCCAAUCAAUACCAGAUAUUUCUUAAAGUUUCCUAUGUUUCACUGUUUGACUAAUCUGACCACUCUUCAUUACGAAUCAAAUUUCUCAUUGUACAGAAUUAAAAAUAUGUUCUCGUUUAUUUCAUUUGAAACUAGACUCAACAAACUUUAAUUACAUAAUUUAUUCACCUUCUAACUCAUCUCCCAGAAUUUAUGGUGAUUUUCCAAAGUCACACUACUGCUGCUGUCCCAAGCAGAUUUAUUACCAAAUCACUCUUUCACACAUAACUUGCAUGCAUGUUAUUUAAACAUGUAUAUCACCAAUCAAUCAUCACAUAUCUAUGAUUUUACUUAAGUAUAAUCUCCAUUUCAUCAUUUUAAAGCACAACAUGUUAGCUGAUUUUUCCCUUUAACAUCUAAGGCACAUGCAUGCUCAUUUGUUUGGCUCAACUUCACCUAUCUUCCAUUUUUCAUCAAAAGAACAUGAAACAACAACCAUUUCCUUCAUUUUAAUUCAUGACUAAAUGCUCACAACACAACUAAAAAUCAAAAUAUACUUCAAGAGUUAAGGUAGAAUCAAGAAGAACUCAUGAACCUCAAAAUAGAAGUAAGGUACCAAGAACUUACCUUCAAUUUUCCUCCUCCUAAUGACCGAAUACUCAAGAGCUUUCUCCUCUCCUUUCUCUUCUCUAACUUUCAGCUAUGAUGAACAAAGAUGGACAAAACUUUAUUCUUUUCACCCCUUUUUCUUUUAAUAAAACUUCAUAUUUCAUCCAUUUAAUUCUUUAAUACAAAAGACAUGAAAUUCUUAUCAUGAAACAUUUACCUAACCCAUUAUCAUGAAACAUUUACCUAACCCAUUAUCAUGUAACAUUUACCUAACCUAUUAUCAUGGAACAUUUACCUAACCUAUUAUCAAUUUGUAUCAAUUUGUCUACAACAACAUGAUGGUUGGCCACUUCAUGUAAAAUGGGAGGUUUGUCAUGCAAAUCCUCCUAUUUUGCACUCCUAUUUAUUUGGCCACUUCAAUUUAGCCUAUAGCAUUUUCAAACAUUUUCACAUAGGUCCUAUUUCAUAAUUUCACUCCCUUUUUCUUAUGGAACAAAAAUUAACUAAAAUUACCGGGUUCUAUCUUAAGCUUGGGCCAUCUAGAGGCCCACUAACAUAAUUAAACCUAUGCCAACAUUCACAGGAUUCCCGAAAAUUGGGGCGUUACAACUCUACCCUCCUUAAAGAAAUUUCGUCCUCGAAAUUUACCUAAUCCAAACAGAUGAGGGUAUUGCUGUUGCAUCGUCUCUUCUGGCUCCCAAACUCAGAAGUUUCCCCUUCCUUAACUUGUUGAAAACGAGCGACCAAAGACUCAUCGUUCAACUGUUUUUCCUUAAUCUGAUCCACCAGGUUGGCCUCACUUGCAACUCAGCCAAUAGACUUCCAUCAUCAUACAGACUCAGACGAGCAAACAUUGCUCUCAGAUCAGAUACAGCUCUCCGACUUAGAGCAUCGGCUACCACAUUAGCCUUGCUUGGGUGAUACUCGAUCGAACAGUCAUAAUCCUUAAGCAACUCAAUCCAUCUCCUUUGCCUAAGGUUCAGCUCCUUCUGAGUCAACAAAUACUUAAGACUCUUAUGGUCAGUGUAUAUAAUACACCUUUCUCCGUACAAGUAAUGUAUCCAAAUCCUAAGUGCAAAUAUCACUGCUGCCAACUCUAAAUCAUGAGUCAAAUAGUUUCCUUCAUGGGGCUUAAGCUGUCGUGAUGCAUAUGCAACCACCUUACCCUCUUGCAUUAACACGUAGCCCAAACCCACGUGUGAUGCGUCACUAUACACACUAAAAUCCUUCCCAGACUCCGGCUGAAUCAACACAGGUGCUUUAGUCAGAACUUUCUUCAACUUCUCAAAAGCUUCCUGCUGCUUCUCAGUCUAUACAAACGGUACUCCUUUUCUUAUGAAUUUUGUCAGAGGUGCUGCCAUCACAGAAAAACCUUCUACAAACCUUCUGUAGUAUCCUGCCAGUCCUAGGAAACUUAGUAUUUCCGACACCGUCCUAGGUGGCUUCCAUUCCAAAAUUGCUUCAACCUUUCGAGGGUCCACCUUAAUCCCUUCGGCAGAGACCACAUGUCCUAAGAAGGUUACCUCCCUCAACCAAAAUUCACACUUGCUGAACUUCACAAAGAGUUCCUUCUCCCUUAAUACUUACAGCACUAUACGGAGAUGCUCAUCAUGUUUCGUUUCAGUUUUAGAAUAUACCAGGAUAUCGUCAAUAAAGACGACUACGAACUGAUCCAAAAAUGGUUGGAAUACACGAUUCAUCAGAUCCAUAAACGCUGUAGGAGCAUUCGUUAGUCCAAAUGGCAUAACCAGAAACUCGUAAUGACCAUACUGAGUCCUGAAUGUCAUCUUUUGGAUAUUUGCCUCCUUGACCCUUAACUGAUGAUAUCCAGAUCGAAGGUCGAUCUUGGAAAAUACAGAAGCUCCUCUAAGCUGGUCGAACAGAUCAUCAAUCCUUGGCAGCGGAUACUUAUUCUUAAUCGUCAGUUUGUUCAACUGGCGAUAAUUAAUGCACAUUCGCAUCGUACCAUCCUUCUUUUUCAUGAAUAGCACCGGUGCUCCCCAUGAAGACACGCUUGGCCUAAUAAAGCCCCUAUCCAACAACUCUUGAAUUUGAGCAUUUAACUCUACUAACUCCUUCGUGCCAUCCUAUACGGUGCGAUGGACACAGGCGCCGUUCCAGGCAACAAAUCUAUUCCAAACUCAACUUCUCGGUUCGGAGGUAAUCCUGGAAGCUCCUCCAGAAAAACAUCUUGGAGCUCUUUUACGGUCCUAACCUUAUCCACUGUCAGUCCCUCCUCUUCCGACUGACUUACAAAUGCCAAAUAGGCCUCACAACCUUUCCGAAUCCACGUCUCGACUCUUAAUACCGAUACCACAUUGAACAAAUAAUCCCUUCGCUCACCUAUCACCAUAACCUCCUCAUCCUUUGUGGUCCUUAACACCAUUCGUUUGACAGCACAAUCCAGAGUCACUUUAUGCUUAACAAGCCAGUCCAUUCCCAGAAUGAGAUCAAACUCUCCGAACGGUAACUCCAUCAGAUCUCCAGGGAAAAUCUUAUCUUGAGUUUCUAAGGGUACAUCCCUAUACAGUUUGUCUACCCUAACGGAGUGACUCAAAUGACUUAGUACAGAUAACCUACUCACAAUCUCCUCAGAGCAGUCCAAGUUGUCCAUAAUCCAUUCUGUGGCCUCCAACCAAUAUACUGCCACAUUCGGGACUAUACCAGACGCACCCCUAAAGAUCUCCGCUCCGUUGGCCCGGAGUCGUUCAGAAAUCGAUCCUCAAAUUUCGUUGCCCGAACUUGUCCCGGUAACCCUUUCCUAAACACGAAGCAUUGCCUGUGACAGGGCAUCAUCCUCGACAUCGCGGUCAUGAGACUCUACCUCUGUUGCCAGUGGUACCGGUGCAUCCACCGUCGGCAUAUGUCUCGAAGACGAAGAUCUCGCUCGAGCACUUCCUCGACUCCGUCCACGGCCUCUUGUACUCAUAUCGUAUUAUCUUGAUUACGAAUUUUUAUGCAUCAAUAAAUAUUCAAGUGUUUAUUACAGAUGUUUUAUGAAUCAGACAGUAGUUUAGAGUUUGUUUUCACAGAAUCGAAGUCUAGCUACAGUUUCAGUCUCUUAUCAGAUUUUCCUAUGGUUUCAGUAUCAUCCUAUCUAGAGUAUCCUAGAAGGAUUUUAGUACAGACAGAUAAUUCAGGAGAAUAUUCAGAAAAGUUCAGAGUAAUACUUACAGGCUUGGGCCGGAGAUUCGGAAUGCCACCUUCUAAAGAUCUAAAUUUUAAAAAUCGCGUUUUUCGCAAUCUUUAUAAUUUUUUUUGAAAAUCUUUGUUUUUUUUUGUAAACCCAUUCCACAGCCGAUUUGUUACAACCUAGGCUCUGAUACCACUAAAUGUAGCACCCCAAACCCAGCCCAGAAGUUAUGGCCGGAUUCGGCAUGCCACAUCAAAAACGUAAAAAAAAAUUUCAUUCUAAGUCCAGAAAAUCGUACUUGAUGUUCAAAAGAUUAAUUUCAUUAUAGGUUAAAGUGAAUGGAAGCUGUGCACCAGGUAGGAAACCAGAAAAGAGGUGGUGAGUCCAUCGGACUGCUUAAGUACCAAGCUCCAUUCGGAUCCAAUCCUAGACAUGCAUACUACAAUUGCCACACCUUAACGUCAUGGAUAUUUCUAGGAAACCGAUUUGAUUAAGUCAUUUUUAAGAAAAGUGAUUAAUUUUGGAAAAUACUUUCAUUGCGGAAGCUUUGCUUGUUGUCGUAUUAUUUUGAAAUCAACUGUUGUUUUUGAAAACGCGCCCUAAAGCUAUCCAAUUUCAACAGUUAAAAUAAGUAUUACCUAUCUUAGUAAUACAUAUUAAAAACCAUCAAAAAUAAAUAAGCGGCAUUAUUACAUUUAAAAGCCCAAAACCUCAAACGUAAUUAAAAGGAUGUCCAGUUCACCAGAAGAAAAUCAAACUUUCAGAACGGGUGGCCACUCCGAAUUCCCUCACAGCUCCAAGCCCACUAUGGUUGGGGAUUACCUGCGUGGAUGAAAAUAAAAGGGAUGAGUUUGGGGAAACUCAGUGUAUAAAAUAACCCAACCAUAGUCUAAAUCAGCUCAACCCACAGAAACAGAAUAAGUUAGCCUUAGCCCAGAACAGAAUUCAGAAUAAAGCCCAUAGGCCCAUAACAGAACAGAACAGAUAUUACAUGUUUAUGUAGAAACCCAACCAUAUCCAACCGUAUACACCCCCGUACCAACCUUACACCAUGUGGGGAGACAACUCGACCCACCCAACCGCUACACACCACAGAAUUUUCAGCAUGGGUGCCAGAACAGAUAAUGUGACAAAGUCACCAAAUACAAAUAAUCGUGGCAGAGCCACCAGAAUAGAUAUAUGUGGCAGAGCCACCAGAUCAGAUAUUUGUGGCAUAGCCACCAGAACGGUUCCUCCAUAAUAUAACCCAUGUCCCCAUGCAAUAAAUAUAUAAUCAUGGCAUCCAUCAUACAGAAUCAGAUCGCUAUGCUUUUCAGUCAAAAUUAACCCUACGGGUAUAACGGUAAUUUUACACCCAGGGGUAUAACAGUAAUUUUCCAUACAUAGGGGUAUUAUAGUAAUUUAGCUACUUUCAGGGUUUUCAUGCAUAUCCUAACUAUUUACGUACUAUCAGAACACUUACCGCGCAUACUUACCGAAUUGGGCCCGUUGGCCCAUGAACCCGAUCUUUGGCCCAUUAAGCCUAAAUUAUCAAAAUGUACGAAAUCGCGCGUACUGCAGUUUAUUACUUUAGAUUACCAAAUAUACAAACCCAACUAUUUUACGAGCAUUCGCACACUCGCAAAUUCCCAAAAUACCGACUUUUCAGCAUUUCGGCUUUUCGGCUUUUGCCAAUCUAGUCUAUGAGAGGGUGUCAGUUACACACCUGUUUGCGACGAUAUGCUGACGAGAUCCACACACGAACCGCCUACAAUUGGAUUACUAACACAUUAAUCUAACUAUUCAAAUACAAACUACGUAUUAAACCCUUACAAUAUUCGGUCAACCACACCUACAGAUCAUAGUAAGCUUAUAAGAAAUCAAUAAGCAACUCAUUAACAAAUUUUUGUCAAUAUUUACCACAUCAUCAUAAUUUCACUGCAAGCUGUCUUUUUGAGCAACAGUCACUAAAUCAUUUAUAACUGGAGCUACGAAACUCCAAAUCAAGUGCCGUUAAUUUUUCCUGAAAAUAGACUCAUAUAUCUUAUAUCCAUAAAAUUUUUAGAAUUUUUGGUUUGUCCAAUCAAUACCAGAUAUUUCUUAAAGUUUCCCGUGUUUCACUGUUUGACUAAUCUGAACACUCUUCAUUACGAAUCAAAUUUCUCAUUGUACAGAAUUCAAAAUAUGUUCUCGUUUAUUUCAUUUGAAACUAGACUCAACAAGCUUUAAUUACAUAAUUUAUUCACCUUCUAACUCAUCUCUCAAAAUUUAUGGUGAUUUUCCAAAGUCACGUUACUGCUGCUGUCCCAAGUAGAUUUAUUACCAAAUCACUCUUUCACACAUAACUUGCAUGCAUGUUAUUUAAACAUGUAUAUCACCAAUCAAUCAUCACAUAUCUAUGAUUUUACUUAAGUAUAAUCUCCAUUUCAUCAUUUUAAAGCACAACAUGUUAGCUGAUUUUUCCCUUUAACAUCUAAGGCACAUGCAUGCUCAUUUGUUUGUCUCAACUUCACCUAUCUUCCAUUUUUCAUCAAAAGAACAUGAAACAACAACCAUUUCCUUCAUUUUAAUUCAUGACUAAAUGCUCGCAACACAACUAAAAAUCAAAAUAUACUUCAAGAGUUAAGGUAGAAUCAAGAAGAACUCAUGAACCUCAAAAUAGAAGUAAGGUACCAAGAACUUGCCUUCAAUUUUCCUCCUCCUAAUGACCGAAUACUCAAGAGCUUUCUCCUCUCCUUUCUCUUCUCUAACUUUCAGCUAUGAUGAACAAAGAUGGACAAAACUUUGUUCUUUUCACCCCUUUUUCUUUUAAUAAAACUUCAUAUUUCAUCCAUUUAAUUCUUUAAUACAAAAGACAUGAAAUUCUUAUCAUGAAACAUUUACCUAACCCAUUAUCAUGAAACAUUUACCUAACCCAUUAUCAUGGAACAUUUACCUAACCCAUUAUCAUGGAACAUUUACAUUUACCUAACCUUUUAUCAAUUUGUAUCAAUUUGUCUACAACAACAUGAUGGUUGGCCACUUCAUGUAAAAUGGGAGGUUUGUCAUGCAAAUCCUCCUAUUUUGCACUCCUAUUUAUUUGGCCACUUCAAUUUAGCCUAUAGCAUUUUCAAACAUUUUCACAUAGGUCCUAUUUCAUAAUUUCACUCCCUUUUUCUUAUGGAACAAAAAUUAACUAAAAUUACCGGGUUCUAUCUUAAGCUUGGGCCUUCUAGAGGCCCACUAACAUAAUUAAACCUAUGCCAACAUUCACAGGAUUCCCGAAAAUUGGGGCGUUACAAUGAUGAUGGUGGAUACCAUCAACUUUAAUUAAUAUAUUAUCAAUGUAUAUUAAACCAUAAUUAUACAAGAUUAACUAUAACCUAAUCUAAGUAUAAAAGCUAAAGUAAGUGGAGAAAGAUGAUAAUUCAUUUUCUUCACUGUCCACUUGAAGAGAAUAAAGAAAACUCCAUUUUUAGAGGUUAAACUUUUGGCUAAGCAAUUACUAUGUGUGUGAAACUAAUCCAAUUUAUCUCUUGAAACUAGAGAAAAAUACGAAAUAGUCACUAUUUUCAAAAAUACCCAACACCACACGACCAUGUGAGAUUUUACAAACCGUGUGGGUAGGCCGUGUGGACCACAUUGGGCUAGCUUUUAGGCCUAGUGGGCCUUUUGGCCAAAUUUUGGGCCUGAUUAAGGGUCACUAAGGGACUCGAAACUUGGGUUCGUAGGCAUCAUAUGGGAUCAGAAAAGCGUAAAUUUAAGUACGUAAAAAUACAUGGGUAAGCUUAUUAAGUAGGAUAUGUUACAAUUAAACCACACACUAUGCUCAGAUCCAUAAUAAGUGUAUGCAUGUUAUACGAUUUAUGAUAUAUAUAUAUGUAUGAUAUAUGAUUACGAUAUGCUUUUGUUUUGGGGUGGGCUAUGAUGUGAUGGAGGAAGUGUUAUGUAACACCCUUAACCCAUCUUCAUUAUCGAAUUAGGGUUACAGAGCAUUACAGUAUAAAACAGAACCUUUAACUUCAAAAUAGAAAAAUAAUAGAUCGAAUUUCAUAUUAACUUCUAAUAACACAAUACAAUCAUAGAAAAAAUACAUCCUUGGGUCUUAAAUCAAGCCUAAGGGGACUUAAAAAUAGUUUGGAAACAUUCAGGGAUCAAUUCAAAAAAAUUUGAAAGUUUUGGGAAAAGUUGAGAAUUCGGGGAAACAGAGGUCACACGAUAGUAUGACUUUGCCCAAGCUGUGUGGGGAUUCAAAUUAUGGGACACACGAUCGUGUCCCAACCCGUGUGUCUACCUAUGUAACUUACUGACUUGGGUCACACGGCCGUGUGCCAGGCCAUGUGUGUAUUCGAACCAUGGUGACAUGGCUAUGUUGUAGACCAUGUGCCUGGCCGUGUGGAACCUGCACCUAAAAUUAAAAUGACACAUGACCAUGUGGGGUGACCGUGUGUGGUACAUGACCGUGUGGCAACCCAUGUCCCAAGCCGUGUGCAAUCCAAAUUACCCCUAAAACAAGCCAUUUCAAAUAUCAUUUCUUAACCAUCAAGCCAUAUCAUCAAUAGCUACUUUCAUAUACUUAAAUCACAUUCAAAAUCACCUAAAACAUGUCAAGAAUUAAUCCAUCCGAUGUCUAAUCAAUAUGCCUUUCAAAGGCACCACAUUUCACACUUCAAACUUAGUCUCAUUCAACAUCUCAAAGUCCUAAUUAGAACCUAUGCCAACUAUGCCAAAAUAACCAUUCCCAAAACAUGCCAUCAUACCAUGUAAUAUCUACUAUUUAUAGAAUAUGCAUAAGGGUUCAUCCAUUCAUAUUUUCACCUAUUCUUUACAUGCCAUUAUUUAACACCAUUAACCAUACCAAGCUUUGCACAACUCAAAACAAGAAAAUUCACUUGAAUAAUCUUUUAACCCUAUCACAUGCCAUUUAUAACCAUUAACCAAAACUACCAAUAUGACGAAUGGAUAGUUUGACAAUACUCCGACGAGAUUCCAACCGAUUGAGCUUUUCGAUAAUAUACAAAACAGAGGAAACAACUACGUAACCAAUCAGUGCUUAAUAAGUUCGUACUUAAGAACUUAACUUACCAUAUGCAUUAAAUCAAACAAUCAAAUUAGAUUCCUUUUUAUUAUAGGCCAUAUGUCCUUUCCUAUACACAAUUACUCACAAAGUUAGUUAGUGAGACAUUGCACUUAUAAAGCAACCAAAGCAUGCCAUAAGACAUAUCAAUAUUUCAAAUUCAUCAAACAUCAUUCAUUCAUAUACCAUGUUCUUACAUUUUCUUUAGGUUUCACAUAACAACUUUCCAUGUCACACAUUCAUUAGUAUAGCUCUUUAUGUACAUGUAUUUUUUUUCAUUCAAACCUUAAUUACCCAUUGAACCAUAAAGAAUAACAUUGCCUACUUGAAAAAUACUCAUAUAUCUAUUUAAUUUACUAAACACCACAAACAUCAUUAGUUAACAUAUUUACAGACACAUGUAACAUAUAAUCACACCAAGGCAUAAAUAUUCAUUACAACCUAAACUAGUCAAAACAUUUAUCUCACAUUUAAACUUAUGAUACAUAACUCACCUGAAACAUGUUACCUAAAUAGCAAAUGAUUGAAGGAUGCCAUAGUGUCUUUCAACCAUGGCCAUAUACAUUUUCGUCUUAAUGCUAUAGUUUCUUUCAACCAUGGUCUUAUUUGCCUAAUUCAUGAUGUCAUAGCGUCUUUUAGCUAUGGUCUUACUCGUUUUCGGUAUGAUGCCGUAGUGUCUUUCAACUAUGGUCUUAUUCAGUUUCAGCAUAGUGCCAUAGAUCUUUCAACUAUGGUCUUGCUCGUUUUCUUCAAGCCAAAAAAUUUGAUUCACAUAUAUAUACAAAUAGAUAAUAAUUUAUCAAAACAGUAAUUGAUUGCAUUAACCAAGUUACGAACUUACCUGAACUCAUAAAGGACUUCUAGCAAGAAUCAACCACUAUUUUGGAACUUUGACUUUUCCACGAUUUGUGUUCAUUUGAGUUGUUUUGUAACGCCCCAAUUUUCGGGAAUUCUAUGAAUGUUGGCAUAGGUUUAAUUAUGUUAGUGGACCUCUAGAAGGCCCAAGCUUAAGAUAGAACCCGGUAAUUUUAGUUAAUUUUUGUUCCAUAAGAAAAAGGGGGUGAAAUUAUGAAAUAGGACCUAUGUGAAAAUGUUUGAAAAUGCUAUAGGCUAAAUUGAAGUGGCCAAAUAAAUAGGAGUGCAAAAUAGGAGGAUUUGCAUGACAAACCUCCCAUUUUACAUGAAGUGGCCAGCCAUCAUGUUGUUGUAGACAAUAUGUGCACUUGAUAUCCAUAAUUCAUGGUACAAAUUGAUAAAAAUUGACAAUGGGUUAGGUAAAUAUUCCAUGAUAAUGGGUUAGGUAAAUGUUCCAUGAUGGGCAUUUCAUGUCUUUUGUAUUAAAGAAUUAAAUGAAUGAAAUAUGAAAUUUUAUUAAAAGAAAAAGGGGUGAAAAGAAUAAAGUUUUGUCCAUCUUUGUUCAUCAUAGCCGAAAGUUAGAGAAGAGAAAGGAGAGGAGAAAGCUCUUGAAUGUUCGAUCACUUGGGGAAGAAAAUUGAAGGUAAGUUCAUGGUAGUUUGCUUCUAUCUUGAUGCUCAUGAGUUCUUCUUGAUUCUACCUUAACUCUUGAAGCAUAUUUUGCUUUUAGUUGUGUUGUGAGCAUUUAGUCAUGAAUUAAAAUGAAGGAAAUGGUUGUUGUUUCAUGUUCUUUUGAUGAAAAAUGGAAGAUAGGUGAAGUUGAGCCAAACAAAUGAGAAUGCAUGUGCCUUAGAUGCUAAGGGGAAAAAUCGGCUAACAUGUUGUGCUUUAAAAUGAUGAAAUGGAGAUUAUACUUAAGUAAAAUCAUAGAUAUGUGAUGAUUGGUUGGUGAUAUACAUGUUUAAAUAACAAGCCUGCAAGUUAGGUGUGAAAGAGUGAUUUGGUAAUAAAUCUGCUUGGGACAGCAGCAGCAACGUGACUUUGGAAAAUCACCACAAAUUGUGGGAGAUGAGUUAGAAUCUGCAUAAAUUAUGUAAUUAAAUCUUAAUGAGUCUAGUUUCAAAUGGAAUAAACGAGAACAUAUUUUGAAUUCUGUACAAUGAGAAAUUUGAUUCGUAAUGAAGAGUGGUCAAAUUAGUCAAACAGUGAAACAUGGGAAACUUUGAGAAAAAUCUGGUAUUGAUUGGCUAAACCAAAAAUUCUGAAAAUUUUAUGGAUAUAAGAUAUAUGAGUCUAUUUUUAGGGAAAAUUAACGGCACUUGAUUUGGAGUUUCUUAGCUCCAGUUAUAAAUGAUUUAGUGACUAUAUCUCAGGAAGACAGCUUGCAGUGAAAUUAUGAUUAUGUGGUAAACAUUGACAAAAAUUUGUUAAUGAGUUGCUUAUUGAUUUCUUAUAAGCUUACUAUGACCUGUAGGUGUGGUUGGCCAAAUAUUGUAAGGGGUUAAUACGUAUUUUGUAUUUGAAUAGUUAGAUUAACGUGUUAGUAAUCCAAUUGUAGGCGGUUCGUGUGUGGAUCUCGUCAGCAUAUUGUCGCAAACAGGUGUGUAACUAACACCCUCUUUCUUAGUCUAGAUUGGCAAAAGUCGAAAAGCCAAAAUGCCGAAAACUGGUAUUUUGUAGAUUUGCGAGUGUGCGAAUGCUCGUGAGGUAAAUCGAUUAAUGUUUUUGGUAAGCUGCAAUGUUUGGACUGCAAAGUGCAUGAUUUCUGUGCCCUCAAUAUUUUUAGGCUUAAUGGGCCAAAAUUGGAAUGAUGGGCCAAUGGGCCCAAUUCGAUAAGAACCCUCGGUAGUGAUUCUGUUAGUACGUGAAAGGUAGGAAUAUGCAUGAAAAACCCUAAAAUAGAUAAAUUACUGAAAUACCUUUAAAAGUGGAAAAUUUAUAGUUUUACCCCUAGAAGAUAAAUUACCGAAAUACACCUAGGGUUAAAUUGACCUAAAUGCAUGCUUGACUGUUGUUAUUUACUGCAUGCCAUGUUGUUAUUAUCUGAUGCAUGGGACUGGGAUAUUGACGGAGGAAGUACUGAAAGUGGCUUGUCCAAGUAAUGGAGGCUUUGCCUCAAUUUACUGUUAACUGAGCAGCAAGGCUACAACUGUGGAGUGUUGGGCUGGUUGGGUUGAGCUAUUCCCCACAUGGAGUGUAUGGCUGGUACGGGUGGAGUGUAGUGGUUGGUGGGUUGAGUAGUCUCCCCAAAUGGGCUUGCAUAUGUUUAUUGAUGUUGCAUGUAUUUUGAAAUGGGCCUAUGAGCCAUACUGUUAUCUGAAUAAGGGGCUAAGGCCUAGUUUAUUGUAAUCUGAAAAGGGCUCUGGCCCAGUACCACUGUUACCUAAAUGGGCUUAGGCCCAAUGGGCUUGAGCUGACUUGGGCUUUGAAUGGGUUUUCCUUACACACUGAGUUUCCCCAAACUCACCCCUUCUUUAACCGUGCAGGUGAGCCUUGAUGUGGGUGACUUGGAGCUGGAGGGGAUUCAGAGUGGUCAUGGUGAAUACUUUUGGGUUUGAAAAAGAGACUGGUUUUCUUAAGUUAUUUUUAAUUACUAUUUAAUUUUUGGGUUGUAAUAAGGUCAUUUUAACUUUAUUUUCUUCUUUGAUUUUCUGGGAUUAUAUUAUUUUAAACAACUUUAAAUUGAUGGAUACUAAUUCAAAUGGGCUAGACUUAGGGCGUGAUUUCAAAACGAUACUUGUUUUUUUUAAAAUAACACGACGUCACGAAUAUUCGAUUUACCAAAGAUAAUCACUCAAAGAAAUUUCAACUUGUUAUAACCAAGUGUGGCAAUGGAUGUGGGCAUGUCUAGGAUUGGAUCCAAUCGGAGAGCUUGGUACUUAAGCAGCCUUCAUGGCUCACCUCCUCUGUUAUGGAUACCUACCUGGUGCCCAGCUUCCAUUCACUUGGUUAGUUUGACAAAAGUCGGCUUUUUAAAACACUAAAAAGGGAACACGGGUUUUUGACUUCAAAGUGGCACGUCAGAUUCGGCCUUAACGUCUGGGCCGGGUUUGGGGUGCUACAUGUUUCUUGAUCAUGCAUGGUGAAACAAAACUUAAUCGAACCCUAGAUUAGCCAUCCAUGGAAGAAUCAAUUGUCUAAAAAUGAUAAAGAAGAUGAUAACCACUCAUAUUUUGUUUAUGUUUUAUUUUAAUUAUCAAAUUACCUUUUUACCUUUCUGAUUUUAAUUUAAAAUUAACAAAACAUGUCCAUAACGAUGCAUGGUAUAUUUACCAUAUAAGUUUAUUAAUUUAUCUUUUCAUAGCCAUUUGACCCAUUUCACUAAUAGAAAUCAACUUUUGCAGCUUUUAUAAUUUAGUCCUUUUUAAUUAAUUAACUAUUUAAGUGUUAAAAUUUCUUAACAAAAUUUUAAAUAACCCUAAUAACACUAUUAAAUAUUUACAGGCUCAAUUUAUAUAAACUAGGUCCCGAUAUAUCAUUUUCUAAAAUCACUUGAAUUGAAGGAUUUACCACUUGAACCUAGUUAUUCAUUCAAAAAACAUAAAUUAUCAAAUAAAAUUUUAAUAUUACUAUAUUUGACUCGUAAAUGUUAAAUAAUAAUAUUUACAAACUCACUCAUCGGAUUUGUGGCCUCGAAAUCACUAUUUCUGACACCACUAAAAAUGGGUUGUUACAUGUUAUAUGACAGUUUUUACUACAAUUACAGUGGCUAGAUCGCAAAUUUUUGUCUGGUAGCUCAGCUACAUAUAUAUAACACACCGCCAUAUAUUUGUGUGAUUGGAUGGAUUGACUCUUGUAGUCCUAUAUGGUGUGAUUGUCUGGUAAGAGAUGGUGUGUAGUGGAUGGGGGUAGGACAUGAUAUGACAUGUUGUGUUAUGAUUCGGUUUGAUAUGAUAUGUUAUGAUACGUAAUAUAUGAUAAUAUAUGAUCUGUAUGGCGACUGAUACAAUAUGAAAUAUUAAAAGAUAUGCUCUGAUUUGGAUUCUAAUAUGUUAUAACACAUUUUGAUAAAUAUAUAUAUUUGUACAGAAAGUGUGGGCCAAAUCACACACAUGGCUUAAAGCUCAGGUAUUGUUUGUUUCGUUUCAGGUGAUCCUCCGACAUAGGAUUGGACGGCGACAUUGGAGCUUAGGUUUCACAAUUUUUGGGUUUUGUAUGUUACAUACUUUUCUUUAUUUAUGGACCUUUUUUUAAGGACUUAAAACAUUUUAAUUUUGUUUGGGACAUUUGAAUUUAUUUCGGUAAUUCUUUUGAUAAAGUUUUGGUUUUUAACCAGUGUUUAAAACAAUACGACUAACUAUAAACUAAAGGUAAUAAAGAGAAAUUGUUAUAAUGUGUCUGCUGCCAAAAUUUUGUCGAAAACUGCUAAAGUGAUUUAUUACACAAACAUUUUGAGUAAAUUGGAUUCGUUUUAGUAAAACUGUUUAAGAUGUGUUUUCAAAAAUUAAUAUGUUUUUCAAAAAGUUAUCCAAAUUGAUUUUCUCUUCGUUGAAAGUUGGUUUUCAUCAAAAUUAGAUAUCAAUUUUUUUUUCAAAUGCAAUGUAAUCUUUAUAAUCCGACCGUAAUAUUUAUGCCAGGUAGGGAUGUUACAUUUGGUGGUAUUAGAGUCAGGUUGUAACACUCAGGCUGCGUAUUUUGGGUCCACGAUAUUUUAAGAAAUAAACUUUUUUUUAAACUGAAAUUUUACUAAAAUGAUCUUUGAAUUUUUGGAUAAGUGAAACCGAGACUCCAACGCCAAUCCAAGCAAGAACUCUAAACUUUAGUUAUGCUUUAGAGAUACUUUGCAUGUGAUACUUUAGUAUAAGAAAUGAUCUUUAGAAACUGUAGCGUAGUAAAACACUCUCUAAACACUGAUAAGUAUUCCGAUAAAACUUUAUGAUUAAGGUUUAAAAUUUAAACUGAUUCAUAAAAUUUUGAAAAAUUGUUGAUAAGAUAAUGAGCACUCGUGGAUCUCGAGGACGUGGUCCCCAUGGCACGGUGGUCACCGUCGGGGGGCUCAAGCUGAGCCUUCUAUAAUGGGAAGUAUGGCCCAAUUAGAUAUGAGUGAGACUGUAAGAACUCCGAUUGCUAUGACUGAGUUUGGGGCUUAGACUGUCGAGGACGACGUACUAUCCCAAAAAAAGUUGAAGGUUUUGGAGAAGGUUACUGAGACCCAUAUUAGAUUUGAGAGCUGAGGGUUAGUAACUGAAUUGCUCCAAUCCAAUGGAGCUAAAUUGUUUAGGGGCAUCACUGGAGCCACUCCGACUUUGGCUAAAUAUUGGUUAGAGGCCAGAGAAAGAAUAAUGAAUGACUUAGACUGCACCCCAAGCAGAAAUUGAAGGGUGCAUUAUCCUUGCUUCAUGACGAAGCAUAUCAGCAGUGGUUGAUUGUGUGGAGGAAGGCACUCAACCUGAGCAACUGACAUGGGAUUAUUUUUGGAGUACUUUUCAAAAUAAGUAUGUGGAGGCAAGCUAUGUGGAGGCCAAUAGACGCGAGUCUCUGGGGCUAACUCAGAGGGAUAGAUCAGUGGCCAAGUAUAAGGCUGGGUUCUUCAGAUUGAGUAGGUAUGAUCAUGGUUUCGUGGCUACUGACUACGAUAAGAGUAUCCAUUUUGAGGAGGGUCAGAGGUAUGACAUUAAGGUUUUGAUAGCUCCCUAAAGAAUGCAGGUUUUUGCAAUCUUGGUUGACAAGGAAAAAAUUAUGGAAAAGGUUAAGCACAUUAAGCACAAUAAGAGAGAGAGUGAGAAGAAUCAAAAUAAUAAAAAGAGGGAUAUGUGUCCUUCUAGUUCUUCUCAGCAGACUGUGAAACAAGCUAGGUAUGAGAAACCUUUACAGGCAAAGCCAGUUGCUAGAGUUGAACCUGCUGUUGGAGUUAAGUAGGCAUCAAUUUGUUGGUAUUGUAAUAGACACCACCUAGGCAAAUGUUGGAGGAGGACUGGGGCUUGCUUUAGGUGUGGUCAACUAGGCACAAGAUCAGAGAGUGUCCCCCUUAUGGUUGAAGCGGGCGGGCUUCAGGUCAGGGUCAGAUUCCGCUUUAGAGGGUUGGUCAGCAGCAUGCUAAGGGCCAUGGUCAGAUGAGGGGGUAAUAAUGGUAGACGCGGACAAAAAGCAUUAGGUAGAGGUGCAGGUCAGGUUGAGGUCAAGUAUCCAACUUUAGCUUACAUAGCGAGGCAUCGUGAGGACAGAGAUUUGACUGAUGUGAUUAUCGGCACGUUCGCUAUUCAUUCUUUAUCUUAUUUUGCAUUAAUUGAUUAUGGUUCUAUAGACUCCUACAUAUCUAGUAGUGUAGUGGGAAAUCUGAGGAUUUUGGCCGAGUACACUAGUUGUGAACUUUCUAUGAUUAGUCAUUUGGGUUAAUCUGUACAAGUUAGUAAAGUGUAUAGGAGGUGUCUGCUUGAGGUUCAGGGGUUUGUGUUUCUAGUUGAUUUGAUAGAGUUACCAUUUAGGGAGUUUCACUUGAUUUUGGGUAUAGAUUGGUUGGUGGAGCAUCGGAUUGGAAUGGAUUGUGAAUCUAAGAGAGUGACAUUUAAGGUUGAAGAUGAUGUGGAGGUUAUGAUGGUUGGCGAGCGUCAAGGUUAUCUCUCUAAUGUGAUCUUCACUCUGGUAGCUGAAAAUCUAAUCUAUAAAGGUUGUUAUGCAUAUUUGGCAUAUAUGCAUGAUACGAGUAGCGUGGGUUUGGCUGUGGAAGAUAUUCACAUUAUUAGGGAUUUUUCAAACAUCUUCCCUAAGGAGUUGUUGGGAUUACCUCCAGAUAAGAAGGUUGAGUUUGGAAUUGAGUUAUUGUCAAGGUCAGCUUCGGUGUCCAUCGCUCUAUAUCAAAUGGCACCAAAGGAGGUGAAGGAACUUAAGUUGCAACUUCAGAAACUUUUAGACAGAGGAUUCAUUUGACCUAGUGUGUCUCCGUGAGAAGCACUGAUUCUCUUUGUUAAGAAAAAAGAUGGUUUUAUGAAGAUCUGUAUAGAUUAUCAUCAAUUGAAUAAAUUGAUGAUAAAGAAUAAGUACCCACUUCCAAGGAUUGAUGAUCUAUUUGAUUAGUUUCGUGGGGCAUCUGUGUUUUCAAAAAUUGAUCUUUGCUCUGGGUAUCAUCAGUUGAAGGUUAGGGAAGUUGGUGUGCAUAAGAUUGCCUUUAGGACUCGUUACGGUCAGUACAAGUUCCUUAUCAUGCCCUUUACUUUGACUAAUGCUCCGAUGGUGUUCAUGGAUAUCAUGAACCAGGUUUUUUAGCCAUAUCUAGACCAAUUCAUCGUAGUGUUUAUCGACGAUAUUUUGGUAUAUUCUAAGAUUGAGGACGAGCAUGAUAGGCAUUUUCGAACAGUUCUUCAGAUUAUUCAUGAAAAGGAAUUGUAUGCCAAGUUGAGUAAAUGUGAGUUAUGGUUGGGUAAGGCUAUGUUUUUAGGGCAUGUGGUUUCUCCUGAGGGUAUCUAAAUGGAUCCUAAGAAUAUAAAGGCUAUUCUGGAUUGGAAUCAGCCUAGAAAUGUCACUGAGAUUUGGAGUUUCCUAGGUUUGAUAAGAUACUAUCGAAGGCUUGUUGAAGGUUCUCUUUGACAGUAGCUCCUUUGACUAAGUUGCUACGUAAGAAUGUUCCAUUUGUUUGGAUUGUUGAGCAACAAUCGAGCUUUGAAAGGCUCAAAUCUAUUUUGACUCAGGCACUUGUUUUGAUUCAGCCUAAACCUGGAAAGAGUUUGUUGUUUAUAGUAAUAUGUCACAUACUAGUUUAGGUUGUGUACUAAUGCAAGAAGGUAAAGUGGUCACUUACACGUCUAGACAACUUAAGUAGUACGAGGGUAAUUAUCUGACUCAAAACUUCAAGCUUGUUACGGUUGUUUUUGCACUUUAGAUUUGGACGCACUAUUUGUAUGGUGAGAGAUGCAUCAUUUACACUAAUCAUCAAAGUCUUAAGUACCUUGUCACUCAAAAAGAGUCGAAUCUUAGGCAGCGUUGUUGGAUUGAGUUACUUAAGGACUAUAAUUGUUCGAUUGAGUAUUAUCCUAGUAAGGCCAAUGUGGUGGCUGAUGCUCUUAGUCAAAGAUUUAUGAGUGAUUUGAAAGCGAUGUUUGCUUGCCUAAGUUUGUUUGAUUCUGGUCGAGUUACAGGUUAAGUCGUCUUGGUUGGAUGAGAUUAAGAGUAAGCAACUUUUGGAUAAGUCUUAGAUUAGUUGGGUUCAGCAGAUGAAUGAGGGUAAUACUACGGAUUUGGGGUAUACUAAUGAUGGUAUUUUGUAUUUUUGAGGUCGUAUUUGUGUGCCUAAGGAUGUAGAUCUAAGAUAGUCUAUUCUGCGGGAAGCACAUAGUAGCUCUUAUGCUAUGCAUCCUAUUGGUAAUAAGAUGUAUCGUGACCUCUAUGACUUGUAUUGGUGGCCUAGGCUAAAACAUGAGGUGAUGGAUUUUGUGUCCCAUUUUUUGAUGUGCCAGCAAGUUAACGCUAGGCAUCAACUAGACCGCUUCAACCCGUUAAGAUUUCAUUAUAGAAAUGGGAACUAGUAACUAUGGAUUUUGUUAGAGGUUUGCCUUUGACACCUACUAAGAAACAUUCGAUUUGGUUAUUGUAGACCAGUGAACUAAGUCUGCUUACUUCAUUCCGGUUGGAUCGACUACUCUUUGUAGAAGUUGGCGAAGCUUUAUGUCUCUAAGAUUGCUAGACUUCAUGGGGUUCCAAUAUCUAUUAUUUUAGACUAAGAUCCUCAUUUUUCUUCUUGUUUUUGGUAGAAGUUACAUGAGACUUUAGGUAUUCAACUAGAUUUUAGUACGACAUUUCAUCCUCAAAUUGAUGGUCUGUUUGAUAGGGUAAUUCAGAUUUUGGAGGAUAUGCUUCGAAGCUGUGUGAUUGAUUUUCAAGGUACCUGGGAGAAGUUUCUACCGCUGGCUAAAUUUUCUUAUGAUAAUAGCUUUCAGUCUACAUUCAGAUGGCGCCUUAUGAGGCUUUAUAUGGCAGGAAAUGUCACACUCUACUUUGUUAGACUGACUUGGUAGAGAGGAAAGUUUUGGGUCCUAAGUUAGUGGCUAAGAUUGAAGAUAAAGUUCAUUUGAUCCAAGAUAAACUUAAGGCCACUUCUGAUAAAUAGAAGUCUUACACGGACCUUAAGAAAUGAGAUAUUGAGUAUGAGGUCAGGGAUCAUGUUUUCCUUAAGGUGUCUCCUUGGAAGAAAGCCCUCAAGUUUGGUCAUAAGGGCAAGUUGACCCCUAUAUUCAUUGAGCCGUAUCGGGUUUUGACAUGAGUUCGGUUAGUUGCUUAUAAGCUUGAGUUACAUAUGGAAUUGGACCGCAUCCAUGACAUCUUUCACGUGUCUAUGUUGAGACAUUAUCGAUCUGAUCCUUCACAUGUGGUUCUAGUGGAGGAGAUUGAAUUAAGACCAGACUUAUCUUUUAAAAUGGAAUUGGUAUAGAUUCUAGAUUGUGAAGUUAAGGUCUUGAAGAGGAAGACCAUCCCUUUGGUUAAGGUGCUGUGGCAGAAUCAUGUUUCUAAUAAGGCCACUUGGGAGCCUGAGGACUUGAUGCGUCAAUAAUAUCCUUAUCUUUUUUAUUCAAGUAAAUUUCUAAGCUGAAAUUUCUUUAAGAAUGAGAGAAUUGUAACGCCCCAAUUUUUUUAUGUUUAAAUUGUUAAAGUCUUAUCAAGUGAUUUGGUUUGGUUUGGAGGUUGGGCACUUUGUAUAUCUGUUUAAGGUUCUAUGUUAAAGUCCCUAUAUGCUUAAUGGAAAUAUUUCUUUUGUUAUUUUAUUUGUUGUAUCACCCAUGGUAGUAGUUUGUUGGUGGGAUUCAAACUCUAAUGGCUGGAUAAGGAUAGGGUAUUAAAAUUGGUGGGAUUUUAGUUAGUUAAAAUAAUAACCUUUUCCUCUCUUUUUUUUUCUUUUCUUUUAUUUUAAAUACUUUCUCUCCUAAAACCACCCCCCCACUAUCAUCCAUUAUUCUAUUUGUGUUAUUAUUUUUAUUCCCUUUUGCUUCAACACACGUUUCUUUCUCUUCUGUUACCUUUUUCCCUUUGUUCUUUUUGUUUGUUUCUUUCUCCUUUCUUUUGCUUUUCAAUUUCAUCUGUCGUUAUCUUUAGUUUUGUUGCGUUAUUUCUUUUGUUGCUACAAUGACGUGUUUCAGAGGUUUGUGUUGUCGACUCAGUUUAGGUGAGUAGGUGUGUUUUCUGAUAAUAAGUUUAAUAGAUUUUAUGUUAUGAACAUGUUGGAAGAUUUUGGGUAUUUUUUAUUUUUUCAAUGUUAAUUGUACGCGUUUUGGUUAGGUGAAGGAUGUGAGGUUUAUGACAUUCUUCCAGCAAACUAGGUGUUGUAGGAUUGUUGUUUUUCGUGGUACAUACUUGAAUGCCGGUUGUUUUAGGAACAAUUUUAAGUGAAAGCUUCAAAACUUAUGCUUCGGAUUUGUAGUUGGUAUUAAUUUAAUCUUAAUUGUGUAUGAUGUGUUCAAGAUUUUUCCUUGUUGCAUUGGUGUCUUUGUUCCGGUAGUAUUAGGUGUAUGAAACUAACCCAAUUUAUCACUCGAAACUCGAGAAAAAUACAAAACAGGGGUUGUUUUCAAAACUGUCUAACGCCACAUGGCCGUAUGUGUUUUUGCAGGUCGUUUGGGGUGUAACACCCCAAACCCGGCCCAGACGUUAUGGCCAGAUCCGGCAUGCCACAUCGAAGCGUUUAAAACAUUUCAUAUUGUUGAUCAAAAAAGCUUACUUAGUGUUUUAAAAGAUAAUUUCAUUGUAGGUUAAAGUGAAUGCAAGCUGUGCACCAGGUAGGAAACCGGGAAAGAGGAGGUGAGUCCAUCGGACUGCUUAAGUACCAAGCUCCCUUUGGAUCCAAACCUAGACAUGCACACCGCCAUUGCCACACCUUAACAUCAUGUAUAUUUUCAGGAAACCAAUUUGAUUAAGUCCUUUUUAGGAAGAGUGAUUAAUUUUGGAAAAUAUUUUCAUUGCGGAAGCUUUGCUUGUUGUCGUAUUAUUUUGAAAUCAAUUACUAUUUUUGAAAAUGCACCCUAAAGCUAUCCAAUUUCAACAGUUAAAUAUAAGUAAUACCUAUCUUAAUAAAACAAAUUAAACCCAUCAAAAAAAUAAUUAAGCGGCCUUAUUACAUAAAAAAACCCAAAACCUUAAACUUAAAUAAAAGGAUGUCCAGUUCACCAGAAGAAAAUCAAACUUGCAGAACGUGUGGCCACUCCAAAUCCCUCACAGCUCCAAGCCCACUAUGGUUGGG